CUGGCCAUGGAGAUGCAUCAGGAAAUUGUCAUCAGCAAGCUGGUUGCCUCCAACCUUCCUAGCCAGUUGCCCAAACUACUGGUCCUCAGGGAGUCCUCUGACAUUCACACAAGCCAUCUUGAUCAAGAAGACUGAACUGAAGAUUGGAACAGAUGGAUCAACCUAGGACAGGUACAGAAGCUUGAACCAGAAGGCCAAUCCACCAAGAAGGAAAUACCAG
Sceloporus undulatus (fence lizard) is the source of this 220-nucleotide long non-coding RNA. RefSeq lists it as uncharacterized. Lineage: Eukaryota; Metazoa; Chordata; Lepidosauria; Squamata; Phrynosomatidae. The transcript has 3 exons. The record is from RefSeq and is a predicted model, not a curated record.